UUUGUUGUAUAAGUGUGUCUCAUGCUAUAUUUGGGACAUAAUUAUAUCAAGA
Molecule: microRNA precursor, 52 nt
Filed under: Marmota monax (woodchuck)
Lineage: Eukaryota; Metazoa; Chordata; Mammalia; Rodentia; Sciuridae
Source: RNAcentral